AGGGGUUUACGUUAAUUAGACACCUAGCCUUCAAAGCUAGCAGUAGAAGUGCAAAUCUUUUAACCCCUG
This 69-nucleotide transfer RNA is filed under the name Balanoglossus carnosus. RNAcentral's name for it is "tRNA-Trp". It matches the Rfam family "tRNA". From Rfam's summary of the family: Transfer RNA (tRNA) molecules are approximately 80 nucleotides in length. Their secondary structure includes four short double-helical elements and three loops (D, anti-codon, and T loops). Lineage: Eukaryota; Metazoa; Hemichordata; Enteropneusta; Ptychoderidae. The record is from RNAcentral.